GGAAUAUUGGACAAUGGGCGCAAGCCUGAUCCAGCCAUGCCGCGUGUGUGAAGAAGGCCUUCGGGUUGUAAAGCACUUUAAGUGGGGAGGAAGGGGUCAACGCUACUACCGUUGAUCAUUGACGCUACCCACAGAAUAAGCACCGGCUAAAUCUGUGCCCGCAGCCGCGGUAAUACAGAGGGUGCAAGCGUUAAUCGGAAUUACUGGGCGUAAAGCGCGCGUAGGCGGUUAUUUAAGUCGGGUGUGAAAGCCCCGGGCUCAACCUGGGAAUUGCAUCCGAUACUGAGUGACUAGAGUAUGAGAGAGGGAGGUAGAAUUCCACGUGUAGCGGUGAAAUGCGUAGAUAUGUGGAGGAAUACCGGUGGCGAAGGCGGCCUCCUGGCUUAAUACUGACGCUGAGGUGCGAAAGCGUGGGGAUCAAAC
RNAcentral lists this ribosomal RNA (423 nucleotides) under uncultured bacterium. Its description in RNAcentral is "bacterial SSU rRNA". It matches the Rfam family "Bacterial small subunit ribosomal RNA", at positions 358 to 773 of the family's 1533-position model. The record is from RNAcentral.